RNAcentral lists this ribosomal RNA (494 nucleotides) under uncultured bacterium. Its description in RNAcentral is "partial 16S ribosomal RNA". It matches the Rfam family "Bacterial small subunit ribosomal RNA", at positions 31 to 507 of the family's 1533-position model. The record is from RNAcentral.
GAACGCUGGCGGCGUGAAGAAGACAUGCAAGUCGAGCGAACGGACGAGAAGCUUGCUUUUCUGAUGUUAGCGGCGGACGGGUGAGUAACACGUGGAUAACCUACCUAUAAGACUGGGAUAACUUCGGGAAACCGGAGCUAAUACCGGAUAAUAUUUUGAACCGCAUGGUUCAAAAGUGAAAGACGGUCUUGCCGUCACUUAUAGAUGGAUCCGCGCUGCAUUAGCUAGUUGGUAAGGUAACGGCUUACCAAGGCAACGAUGCAUAGCCGACCUGAGAGGGUGAUCGGCCACACUGGAACUGAGACACGGUCCAGACUCCUACGGGAGGCAGCAGUAGGGAAUCUUCCGCAAUGGGCGAAAGCCUGACGGAGCAACGCCGCGUGAGUGAUGAAGGUCUUCGGAUCGUAAAACUCUGUUAUUAGGGAAGAACAUAUGUGUAAGUAACUGUGCACAUCUUGACGGUACCUAAUCAGAAAGCCACGGCUAACUACGUG